RNAcentral lists this transfer RNA (69 nucleotides) under Ictidomys tridecemlineatus (thirteen-lined ground squirrel). RNAcentral's name for it is "Spermophilus tridecemlineatus (thirteen-lined ground squirrel) tRNA". It matches the Rfam family "tRNA". From Rfam's summary of the family: Transfer RNA (tRNA) molecules are approximately 80 nucleotides in length. Their secondary structure includes four short double-helical elements and three loops (D, anti-codon, and T loops). The record is from Rfam by way of RNAcentral. Lineage: Eukaryota; Metazoa; Chordata; Mammalia; Rodentia; Sciuridae.
GGGGCUGUAGCUCAGUGGUAGAGCACUUGUCUUUCACCCAUGAGGCCCUGUGUUUGAUCCUCAGCACCA